AGGAGAAACAUGGAGGCUGUGCUACAGACUAAAGGACUUCUUUCUCUACCACCAAACCCCAAAACCAGAGCUUCUUUGUACCCCUCACAAGGCUUAAAGCAGAGACUUUUUGCUGCUAAACCUAAAACCGUUUCUGGGCUUUCUUUAUCUUCAAAUGAUUUUCCUAGAUUUCCCAGCGUUGGGUCGAAACCAAAUGGGUUUCCCCCAAAAGAUAGAAAUUUGCAUAUUUGCAGGGCAGAGGCGGCGGCUGNCGGCUGAUGGGCAGCCUUUAUUUGGUGAAGCUGAGAAGCCUAAGCUCUUGGGUAUUGAGCUCUCAACCCUCAGGAAAAUUAUCCCACUGGGGUUGAUGUUCUUUUGUAUUCUUUUUAACUAUACAAUCCUCAGAGACACGAAGGAUGUGUUGGUCGUGACAGCUAAAGGGAGUAGCGCAGAAAUUAUACCGUUUCUGAAAACUUGGGUGAAUCUGCCAAUGGCUAUUGGGUUUAUGUUGUUGUACACUCAAUUGUCUAACGUUUUGUCUAAGCAGGCUCUCUUU
This 535-nucleotide unclassified non-coding RNA is filed under the name Hevea brasiliensis (rubber tree). Lineage: Eukaryota; Viridiplantae; Streptophyta; Magnoliopsida; Malpighiales; Euphorbiaceae. The record is from RNAcentral.